CCUACGGGUGGCAGCAGUGAGGAAUAUUGGUCAAUGGGCGCGAGCCUGAACCAGCCAAGUAGCGUGAAGGAUGACUGCCCUACGUGUUGUAAGCUUCUUUUAUAGAGGAAUAAAGUGAGGCACGUGUGCCUUUUUGUAUGUACUUUAUGAAUAAAGAUCGGCUAACUCCGUGCCAGCAGCCGCGGUAAUACGGAGGAUCCGGGCGUUAUCCGGAUUUAUUGGGUUUAAAGGGAGCGUAGACGGGUUGUUAAGUCCGUUGUGAAAGUUUGCGGCUCAACCGUAAAAUUGCAAUUGAUACUGGCAGCCUUGAGUACAGUUGAGGUAGGCGGAAUUCGUGGUGUAGCGGUGAAAUGCUUAGAUAUCACGAAGAACGCCGAUUGCGAAGGCAGCCUACUAAACUGCCACUGACAUUGAUGCUCGAAAGUGUGGGUAGCAAACAGGAUUAGAUACCCUUGUAGUC
RNAcentral lists this ribosomal RNA (460 nucleotides) under uncultured bacterium. Its description in RNAcentral is "partial 16S ribosomal RNA". It matches the Rfam family "Bacterial small subunit ribosomal RNA", at positions 338 to 795 of the family's 1533-position model. The record is from RNAcentral.